This 3129-nucleotide ribosomal RNA is filed under the name Triticum aestivum (bread wheat). RNAcentral's name for it is "partial small subunit ribosomal RNA". Lineage: Eukaryota; Viridiplantae; Streptophyta; Magnoliopsida; Poales; Poaceae. The record is from RNAcentral.
AUGCUAAAGCUGGUUUUUUCAGAUGGUGGGGCAGCUGAUUCUGCAAGUCCUGUGACCCCCUUCACUAAAGCUGGGUUCUUCAGCAAGAUCUCAUUUUGGUGGUUGAAUCCUCUACUGAAGGUGGGCUACAAGAAACCCCUUGAGGACAAAGACAUACCACUUCUAGGCGCCACAGAUCGAGCACACAACCAGUACAUGAUGUUCAUGGAGAAGCUGAAUGGCAAGAAGCAGUCGCCGCCACAUGACCCACCAUCAUUCUUAUGGACUAUUGUUUCUUCUCACAAGCGUGCCAUCUUGGUCUCCGGUUUCUUUGCUUUGCUCAAGGUUCUCACCUUGUCUACAGGCCCAAUAAUUCUCAAGGCAUUCAUCAAUGUCUCACUUGGGAAAGGGACCUUUAAACACGAAGGCUAUGUGCUCGCUGCGUUACUGUUCGUCUGCAAAUGCUGUGAAUCAUUGUCACAGAGACAGUGGUAUUUCCGCACUCGGAGAUUAGGACUGCAGGUGAGGUCACUCCUAUCAGCAGCUAUUUAUAAGAAACAACAAAAGCUAUCGAAUGCAGCAAAAAUGAAGCACUCUUCUGGAGAAAUUAUGAACUAUGUGACCGUCGACGCGUAUCGGAUUGGGGAAUUCCCAUACUGGUUCCAUCAAUCAUGGACAUCUAGUGUUCAACUCUGCAUUGCUCUGGCAAUUCUAUACAAUGCGGUUGGUGCUGCAAUGAUUUCAUCUUUAGUUGUCAUUAUUAUCACUGUACUGUGCAGCGUUCCAUUGGCCAGACUGCAACACAAAUUUCAGAGUAAACUUAUGGAAGCACAAGAUGUGAGAUUGAAGGCCAUGUCUGAGUCAUUAGUUCAUAUGAAGAUCUUGAAACUUUAUGCAUGGGAAGCUCACUUCAAGAAGGUCAUCGAGGGAUUGAGGGAGGUUGAGUACAAGUGGUUGUCUGCAUUCCAGCUUAGGAGGACCUACAACGGUUGCCUGUUCUGGUCGUCUCCUGUUUUGGUGUCAGCGGCGACCUUUGUAACAUGCUAUCUUUUGAAAACCCCUCUUGAUGUUAGCAAUGUUUUCACCUUUGUGGCUACUCUACGUCUUGUGCAAGACCCUGUUAUAUUGAUGCCGGAUGUUAUUGCUGUUGUGAUACAAGCUAAGGUUGCUUUCACUCGGAUAUCAAAGUUCCUUGAUGCACCUGAGCUAAACGGACAAGUUAGGAAGAAAUACUAUAGUGGCAUUGAUUAUCCUAUAGUGAUGAAAUCGUGUAGCUUCUCGUGGGAAGAGAAUACAUCAAAACCAACUCUAAAGAAUAUAAAUCUGGUAGCCAAAGCUGGAGAAAAAAUAGCAAUAUGUGGAGAGGUAGGUUCAGGUAAGUCGACGCUUUUGGCUGCUGUACUCGGAGAGGUCCCCAGAACUGAAGGCAUGAUCCAAGUCUGUGGGAAAAUAGCAUAUAUUUCUCAGAAUGCAUGGAUCCAAACAGGAACCGUGCAAGACAAUAUUCUCUUUGGAUCGCUGAUGGACGGGGAAAGAUACCACAACACAGUCGCGAGGUGCUCGUUGGUCAAGGACCUUGAAAUGUUGCCAUAUGGAGAUUGCACACAAAUUGGGGAGAGAGGAGUAAAUCUUAGUGGCGGUCAGAAGCAGCGCGUUCAGCUUGCUCGUGCACUAUACCAAAAUGCAGACAUCUAUCUUCUUGAUGAUCCUUUCAGUGCUGUUGAUGCUCAUACAGCCACAAGUCUCUUUAAUGAAUAUGUCAUGGGUGCUCUAUCAGACAAGACUGUUCUUUUGGUGACACACCAAGUGGAUUUUCUACCUGUAUUUGACUCCAUUUUGUUAAUAUCAGACGGAGUGGUCAUUCAGUCUGCACCUUAUCAAGAUCUAUUGGCAGAUUGUGACGAAUUUAAAGACCUUGUAAAUGCCCAUAAAAAUACUAUUGGUGUUUCAGAUCUUAAUAGCAGUAUAUCCCCUCAAGGAUCUAAGGAAGUAUCAAUAAAGGAGACGGAUGGUAUUCAUACAGAGUCUGUGAAGCCAUCGCUGGCGGAUCAACUGAUAAAGAAAGAGGAAAGAGGAACAGGGGAUGCAGGUGUUAAGCCUUAUAUGCUUUACUUGCACCAGAACAAAGGAUUCCUGUAUUUAUCUUUUUGUAUCAUUUCUCACAUGAUUUUCAUUGCUGGACAAAUAUCACAAAAUGCAUGGAUGGCUGCUAAUGUCCAAAAUCCUCAUGUUACUACACUGAAGUUAAUUUCUGUGUACAUCAUUAUCGGAGUUUGCUCGAUGUUUUUCUUGCUAUCAAGAUCUUUAUCAGUCGUUGUUCUUGGGAUUCAGACAUCAAGAUCCUUAUUUUCCCAGUUACUCGAUUCAUUGUUCCGUGCACCUAUGUCCUUUUUUGAUUCUACUCCUCUAGGACGGGUUCUUAGCCGGGUCUCUUCUGAUUUGAGUAUCGUUGACCUCGAUGUUCCAUUUGCCUUCCUGUUUAGCCUUGGUUCCAGCAUAAAUGCAUAUAGCAAUUUAGUGGUAUUGGCUGUUGUUACAUGGCAAGUUCUGUUUGUGUCCAUUCCAAUGAUAGUUUUAGCAACUAGGUUGCAGAGGUACUAUCUAGCGUCGGCCAAGGAAUUGAUGCGGAUCAAUGGUACUACGAAAUCUGCUCUAGCGAAUCACUUAGGUGAAUCAAUUUCAGGGGCUAUAACAAUAAGGGCCUUUGAGGAAGAAGAUCGAUUCUUUGCUAACAAUUUGGAUCUUGUUGACAAGAAUGCAAGUCCAUAUUUCUAUAAUUUUGCAGCAACUGAAUGGUUGAUUCUACGUCUAGAGAUAAUGAGUGCUGCAGUUCUGUCUUUUUCUGCCUUUGUCAUGGCCCUCCUUCCACGAGGAACCUUUAGCCCAGGUUUUGUUGGAAUGGCAUUGUCCUAUGGUCUUACGCUAAAUACGUCAUUUGUUUCAUGUAUUCAAAACCAAUGCAACCUUGCGAAUAAAAUAAUCUCAGUGGAACGGGUGAGCCAGUACAUGGACAUACAAAGUGAAGCAGCAGAAGUUGUUGAAGAAAAUCGACCGUUGCCAGAUUGGCCCCAAGAUGGCAAUUUAGAGCUUAUAGAUUUGAAGGUAAUCAAAUAUAAUAUUUACAUGUACAACAUACAAGGUAAAAUCUAA